Molecule: unclassified non-coding RNA, 976 nt
Filed under: Hevea brasiliensis (rubber tree)
Lineage: Eukaryota; Viridiplantae; Streptophyta; Magnoliopsida; Malpighiales; Euphorbiaceae
Source: RNAcentral
GAAGGGAAAGGCCAAUGGCCCUGCAAGAAUGCAAAUAUCAUAAAGGUAGUUAAUUCCCAUUAAACAAAAAAGAACAUGAUAUCCAGAAUCAGUAACACCACAACAAAAUAUGUUCCAUUAUCAAACAUCCAUGUGAGGACACCACAGUUUUGCCUGUGAUGGAUAAUGCCUAGACAAGUAUCACUCGUUAAUAAAAGAACUAAAAAUUCUAACCAAAAUCAGCAAACUACUACUAAUCAAACAGAACCAAAGAUUAGGACAUGACACAAGUUCAGAAAAUUAUAAAGAUGUACAAGAAAACUCAACUUAAUUCAAGGUUACCACAUCUUUGACCUAGCAACUAGGAAUUAGCAACAUGAACCAUGACUCUCUUUUCUCCAAUAUGAAACUAACCAAAAGUCUUCCGCAUUACAGUCCAGUUGCAGCCAACGAUCCCAAACUGAAUGAAGCUAACAAAAAUGACCCAAAUUUAUAUACUAUAAUAAGAACAUUAAAGAAAAAAUCCGAUAAACCAUCAACAGAAAAGAAGCAUCGUAGGAAGGGAAAAGAGGACAUUUAACCUCUUUAAUCAGUUGCAAUCUUAUUCUUCUGGAAUUCAACUGCCACUCAAGAGAUCAAUCCUACACCACUGGGACCUCAAAUAUCAAUUCAACAUGGAAAUUUCUGAUUAUUUAUGCUUAAAGUUUCACCUUUAAUGCUGAUUCAGUGUAUUCUAAUUCCACAAGGAUUACAUGAAUUAUUUUCUUAAAAAAAAAAAUGUGAAUAGAGUUAUCAAGACAUGAUUAAAUUCUUCUUUAGAGCAAGUGCAUAGACUCAAAAUAGCAGGAAGAAAAAACCACAUAACUGCGAACAGAAGCAAAAUUUUAAAACAUUAAAAAAUAAAAAGCAGCCACUUAAAAUUCUUCCACAACAUCUAGGUCCACAGUGAAAAUGAUAAAGAACAUUUUUGGCACCUGCGUUGAGCCUGUAUCAUGGU